AAAAUCUCCCCAGAUGCUCACUGCUCUGAUCAUUUCCCCUACAGCACCAGACAUGUUGGCAUCAUCUCUUAGUUGGGCCCUGUGGCCAGGGAACCCCUCAUGAAACCACCUCUGCAGUCCUGGAGAGUUGCUGUAGAAGAAGGAAAAGAGAGGAAGACAACACAACGCAGGAGGGGAUAAGUACCUCUGGACACAAUGGAAGUAGUAGUUGUUGAGCAGAGGGAAAGGGAUAGGGGAAGGAUGUGGACUGCAGUGCUGCAGUGCCAGAGCCCCAGCAGCUACUAUUAAUGAGUGUCUGGAAUAUGUUCCUGGCAUUUCACCUACACUCUCUCCAAUCCUUCCAAGAAACUCACAAAGCAGGGCUUUUUCUUGAACUUCUCUUCCUCACAACAGUUAAAUCAUCCAUUUAAAGAUGUCAGACAAGCUCUGUGUUCUAAGAACUGUUUACUGAGCUCUAUGGAGACAUAGCUACAAGCACCACAUGCUGGACCCCUGAAUAUGGAGGGCCAACUACACUAGAAACACACAUGCUAGCUGGGAAAGAUGCUGGCUUAAGGAGAUCACCAGUUUGUAGUAGAGGCCCACUCUAGGAAGGUUUGGUAAAAAGCUGUUUUGAAUCAUAAUGUUGGCUUUAUUGGCAUGUUGAAACCAUUUACCUCUGUAAUUUUCCAUUUGUUUUCCUUUCCAACUACCACUCCUCCUGCCUGAUAAAUAAAUACCAUUGCAAGAUUA
This 732-nucleotide long non-coding RNA is filed under the name Pongo abelii (Sumatran orangutan). RNAcentral describes it as "lincRNA". Lineage: Eukaryota; Metazoa; Chordata; Mammalia; Primates; Hominidae. The record is from RNAcentral.